This 346-nucleotide ribosomal RNA is filed under the name uncultured bacterium. RNAcentral describes it as "partial 16S ribosomal RNA". It matches the Rfam family "Bacterial small subunit ribosomal RNA", at positions 338 to 701 of the family's 1533-position model. The record is from RNAcentral.
CCUACGGGAGGCUGCAGUGGGGAAUAUUGCACAAUGGGGGAAACCCUGAUGCAGCAACGCCGCGUGAGUGAAGAAGUAUUUCGGUAUGUAAAGCUCUAGCAGCAGGGAAGAGAAUGACGGUACCUGACGAAGAAGCCCCGGCUAACGACGUGCCAGCAGCCGCGGUAAUACGGAGGGGGCGAGCGUUAUCCGGAUUUACUGGGUGUAAAGGGAGCGGAGACGGUUCUGCAAGUCUGAAGUGAAAGCCCGGGGCUUAACCGCGGAACGGCUUUGGAAACGGUGGAACUGGCGUGCUGGAGAGGCAAGCGGACUUCCUAGUGUAGCCGUGCCAUGCGUAGCUAUUAGG